Molecule: unclassified non-coding RNA, 335 nt
Filed under: soil metagenome
Description: partial contains 5.8S ribosomal RNA, internal transcribed spacer 2, and large subunit ribosomal RNA
Rfam family: 5.8S ribosomal RNA (bases 1-120)
Source: RNAcentral
GAUGAAGAACGCAGCGAAAUGCGAUAAGUAAUGUGAAUUGCAGAAUUCAGUGAAUCAUCGAAUCUUUGAACGCACAUUGCGCCCGCCAGUAUUCUGGCGGGCAUGCCUGUUCGAGCGUCAUUUCAACCAUCAAGCCCCCGGCUUGUGUUGGGGACCUGCGGCUGCCGCAGGCCCUGAAAACCGGUGGCGGGCUCGCUAGUCACUCCGAGCGUAGUAAUACAUCUCGCUCAGGGCGUGCUGCGGGUUCCGGCCGUUAAAAAGCCUUAUUUACCCAAGGUUGACCUCGGAUCAGGUAGGAAGACCCGCUGAACUUAAGCAUAUCAAUAAGCGGAGGA